Long non-coding RNA from Aquila chrysaetos chrysaetos, 2388 nucleotides. RefSeq lists it as uncharacterized. Lineage: Eukaryota; Metazoa; Chordata; Aves; Accipitriformes; Accipitridae. The record is from RefSeq and is a predicted model, not a curated record. The transcript is spliced from 3 exons.
GGGCAGCGUCCCUGGGCUGGCAGACAAUGGCGCUUCACCGAGGCAGGGCUCCUGAGCCCGCAUUUUAUGCGGUGAGGAUGACUGACAGCCUUAUCUUGUGAUUUCCUAGCUGCUGAGGAUUUUCCUGUGCUGGGCAUCCUGGGCAGCCCCGCUGGGGCUGGCAGGCUGUGCUGGAGGAGGGGAAGGGAAGCCUGGGAGGCUGGUGUGAUGCCGUGCCCUGUGGGUUAUCCUUCACAAACUUGUAAACAGCUGUCGGAUUUGAUGGAGAAAUGGGAGAGGGAGGAACUCCUGUUACCAUUGUGUCAGAUGCAGCAAGGCGUCUUCUGGUCUCUUUAGACGCGUUAAAAGCAUCUCUUAGCAUCUCUCCCGUGACUUCAGUUUGUUAAGGCAGUAUCAUCUCCUCUGAAAAACAGAGCCAGGUCCACAGCUGGCAGAGGGACACAUCCAAAGGAGCCUGGUUUCGAAGGGAGGAGCUGCCCAAGGUUCGGGGAAGGCCCAUAGCAAAGGCUGAGGCAACUGGUCCCACCGAUGGAGGUGCGUCUGGUGCGCAGGUGUUGCCGAGUUGGGCACCGGAACAUCCCUGGCUUUAACUAGCCAGAUUUUCCAUCUGCAGAUAUGAGAAGAGCGAGCGUUUUGGCAUUCAGAGGCGUAGCUGCCCACGGUCAGGAGAUAUCCCUCGACUCCUGACCUGCAGGGUGGCACGGCACAGGGACGUUGUUUGCAGGGGCUGGGGCGGCAGGACAGCACCGUCACCCUGCGUCCCUGAGCCAUCCCGGGCCAGGCUUCUCCCGCUGCCCUGUGCCCGCUUUCUUCUUUACGUGAUCGCUGCUUCACCCUGUUUCUAGCACUCACCAUCAUGAAACACAGAUAGCUUGCAGAGAGGAAAAUUGAAAGAACAGUAUUUAAUGUGGGUUUCAGACACUGUGUUGUGAAUAAUGAUGGAUGCAGAGAAAAAGCAGGGAGUGUUAAUGUGGGGUAGCAGGAACCAGCCCAGAGAAACUUCCCUGGGGGCCUGAUGCUGACCAGCUGGAAGAGGCUGGCAAGUUUGCUCUGUACCUAAAUGAGAGCAAAACUGGCCAGCUAUUUGUUUACCAUGAACUAGGAAGAUAUAGUAGGAUUUUACAAUUGAGCUUUUUGCAAAAGAAACGUAUUUUAAAUUAACUCGGAAUGUCUCCUUUAAGAGAAAAAAAUCAGUGUAUUCCAGUGGUCAGGUUUCAGAUUGCUUAUAUACAAAUACUGGUCCAGAUUUGUAAAGAGAGACAAGCCAGCCCUGGGAGUUUAUCAGCUUUGUGUGUGUUAACGUGCGCGCACAGAUCUAGCAGAUUACACUGAGUUACUAAUGGUGUGGCUCACUCCUUAAUAAAAAGUUUAAAGGCAGGCUUGGACUAGGUGAUAGGUUUAGUUUCUCCGGGGCAUUGCAGAGAGCGUGUAAGGAGCCUUCCGGGACGGGGGGUGCUGCUGGCACCGACUGGGGCUUCCCUCCUUUCCCACCAACGCCAGGGACCCACAGGCUCCUGCGGGAAGCCAAACUGCAGCCUCCUACCUUACUGCUCAAAAUCACUGCAGCAAAAGCCUUUUGCUGCCUUCAGCACCCAUUAUCAAAAAGAUCUGCAGGGCUGGGCCGCGGGGCUGAAGGAAUUUUAGUAUUGUGAUGCACUUUUUCACUGCGGGAAGGUGCUGUUGGCUGUGGGCUUUGGGCUUUGGGAAAGCCUGGGUGUUUUGGGACAGCCCGCUGCUGCAAGGAGAAAAGCCCCAGGUCUCUAUUUUCCUGGCUGUGUUUACAGUCCCAUGCUGGUGCUACCCAGGAGUUUUUCCUGACAGUCAUUUGUAUCUCGUCAUCCCUAGGCUUUGGCCAGCCUUGGGCCAGGUUUGAUGGCUUCGUGAAGAUGUGACCCAUUUUUACUCUCCGUUGGGUGCCGGCCACAGCCCACCAGGGCAGGCAGGGCAGUCAGGCCUCUUCAGCAAGCGCUGCUGAGGCAGGGUGAGCUUAGCUUUGCUGCGCUGCCCUGGGCUUAGCAGGUUAUUCCUAAGGAGCAAUGAGCUGGUGAUCCCACUUAGAUACAUCCUUCAACUCCAUCCAGCUGGAGAUGUCAGCAGAGCUGGCAGCACCAGCAAAGGUGGCGUCGGUGACCAUGGAUGGGGCGUUGGACAACAAUUAUUUUGCUUUUCUGCUCUGGCGUGACUCGAUGAGCCCCACAUGCUUUGGUACCUGCUGCACAGUUAAAGCACAGCCCCCAACAUGGGGGUCUCGCUGCUGUGGACCCCGUGUCACCUCCCCAAACUCCCUCCAACCUCGGCAGUGCACGGGCAGGAUCCGCUCCUGCCUGUCCAGGGCAGGUCUGCCCCUCCGCACCAGUUUGCAAACACCCCACUGUUGGACAAACUGGG